RNAcentral lists this ribosomal RNA (469 nucleotides) under uncultured bacterium. RNAcentral's name for it is "partial 16S ribosomal RNA". It matches the Rfam family "Bacterial small subunit ribosomal RNA", at positions 28 to 507 of the family's 1533-position model. The record is from RNAcentral.
GACGAACGCUGGCGGCGUGCUUAACACAUGCAAGUCGAACGGAAAGGCCCUGCUUUUGUGGGGUGCUCGAGUGGCGAACGGGUGAGUAACACGUGAGUAACCUGCCCUUGACUUUGGGAUAACUUCAGGAAACUGGUGCUAAUACUGGAUAUGUGCUCCUGCUGCAUGGUGGGGGUUGGAAAGCUCCGGCGGUUGUGGAUGGACUCGCGGCCUAUCAGCUUGUUGGUGGGGUAGUGGCCUACCAAGGCGGCGACGGGUAGCCGGCCUGAGAGGGUGACCGGCCACAUUGGGACUGAGAUACGGCCCAGACUCCUACGGGAGGCAGCAGUGGGGAAUAUUGCACAAUGGGCGCAAGCCUGAUGCAGCAACGCCGCGUGCGGGAUGACGGCCUUCGGGUUGUAAACCGCUUUCAGCAGGGACGAAGCUUUUUGUGACGGUACCUGCAGAAGAAGCACCGGCUAACUACGUG